Molecule: long non-coding RNA, 389 nt
Filed under: Xyrichtys novacula (pearly razorfish)
Lineage: Eukaryota; Metazoa; Chordata; Actinopteri; Labriformes; Labridae
Source: RNAcentral
UUUUUUACAGUUUUCUUUUAUACCCUUUUCAACGACCGACUAAGAUGGAGAGCAAACUGGAGCUGAACCAUCACCUCACUGAACUUCAGCGGUAGGAUAAAAGUUUGAGACUGAAACACAGAAAAUGAGGAUUACUUUAAUUAAAAACCAAAGACUGACAGAAAGAACUCUUGGAUUUUUGAAGAACACAUGGAUUUUUUUUAACUUGAGUUUCUUUUCCUCUUUCUUUGUCUGAGUUUUGGAUAAUUAAUUUAACUGUUGAAUCACUUUACACCUCGUUUCCUGUUAAGAUUAUUUGAAUCCAUCAUUUAAACCUAACUUUGUUGUAUUGUUUCAUUGAUAUUUUCACAGUCUGGGCUGUUUUUAAUAAAAAGUUUAAUUUUUCUAAA